CCCGGGGCAACUUCUUCCGUGUGGUUGUGU
Molecule: non-coding RNA, 30 nt
Filed under: Homo sapiens (human)
Lineage: Eukaryota; Metazoa; Chordata; Mammalia; Primates; Hominidae
Source: RNAcentral